UAGAUGAGGUCCAAGGAAAGAUCCUGUCCUCAGCCGUUCCCUCCAGCAGCAGGAACUCGCCUCUCUUCCCACUCCAGCUGGAAGCUCUCACAGCUCCCAGCCAGUCUUGGGUUACAACAAACACUUCAGGGCUUGCCACGCUUGGAGGAGACUCUCAGGGAGAUAAUCUCUCCUUGGAAGGCUCUUUUCUGUGGCUGCAUCACCACACAGAAAUGCACUGACCGAGCUGGAGGAGGAUUUUACGGAGCAGACUUCUUUCCACUUGUCCCGCAGGUGUUCAGAGCAAGAUUUUCAGCUGCCUGUUCUAAAUAUGGGGAAAAACCCUCAUGUUUCAUAGGUGAAUAAAACACUUCUUCCCCUUUUUUUUCACCAGGGAUGGGGUGAUAGCUGUAAAUAAAGAAACAGGCUCCUUUACUGAUGAGUAUCUCCCAGAGCAGCGAUCCCACCUCUAUGGAAUCACAGCUGUUUAUCCCUACUGCCCUGGAGCCAGGAAAUAGUAACUCCAUUUUCAAGGGAACGAGGAGGAUCUUUGCACCCAGAGGAAUUUCAGACCCAGAGAACUGUCACUGCAUACAAGGGGGAGAAGUCCCUCACCGAGGCCAAUGAAGUGCCCUGCUUUCCUGCAAAAGAUUUUCAAGUAUUUUUUAUAGUUAUACCUCAAGACUUUACUACUGUAUUUUUGUACCAAAUGGAAAAUGUUGAGAUAUCACCAAAAAAAAAAAAAAACAAACUGGGAAGCUCAAGCCAUGACUCAAACUCUUGCUCAUGCAAGAUUUAAAAUGUAGCUUUUUUUUUUUUUUUACUCCAAUGUUUUAUUUUAUUUUAUUGGAAGAACAAUGGAUUCAUUUUUCAUAGUUUUGACAAUCUGACCAAGAGGUCUUUUUAUCCAAAAAUAAGAAUUAAGUGCCUAUGGGAAGCUGUGGAUGCAGUUAAUUACUGGGUCUAAUUAACAAACAGCCCUGAAGACAGAGACUGUGUGUGCUCCAAAAUCCUGCAGAACAGGGAUGGGAUGUGGCAAAGGCAUUGAAGAUUUUCCAGAGGAUGAUUCUGUGUUUUCACCACUGCCUCCAUGCAUGUCUUUUAGUAUUUAUAUUAGAAGAAUAUGCUAGAAUUGAUCUGUUCAUGCUUGUUGGGUCUCCCAAGUGCCUUCCUAGACCUACCCAGUGUAGACCAAUACAUGUUCAGAAAUACCAGUUACGUUGUAAUGCUUCACUUUUUCUAAGUUACUUCAAUAAUUGAAUAAAAAAGGUUGGUUUUAA
Non-coding RNA from Zonotrichia albicollis (white-throated sparrow), 1259 nucleotides. Lineage: Eukaryota; Metazoa; Chordata; Aves; Passeriformes; Passerellidae. The record is from RefSeq and is a predicted model, not a curated record.